This 322-nucleotide ribosomal RNA is filed under the name bacterium Fuku2-ISO-106. RNAcentral describes it as "bacterial SSU rRNA". It matches the Rfam family "Bacterial small subunit ribosomal RNA", at positions 430 to 769 of the family's 1533-position model. The record is from RNAcentral.
GCUCUUUCAGUAGGGACGAUAAUGACGGUACCUACAGAAGAAGCCCCGGCUAACUUCGUGCCAGCAGCCGCGGUAAUACGAAGGGGGCUAGCGUUGUUCGGAUUUACUGGGCGUAAAGCGCACGUAGGCGGAUCGUUAAGUCGGGGGUGAAAUCCUGGAGCUCAACUCCAGAACUGCCUUCGAUACUGGCGAUCUUGAGUCCGGAAGAGGUGAGUGGAACUCCUAGUGUAGAGGUGGAAUUCGUAGAUAUUAGGAAGAACACCAGUGGCGAAGGCGGCUCACUGGUCCGGUACUGACGCUGAGGUGCGAAAGCGUGGGGAGC